Long non-coding RNA from Esox lucius (northern pike), 169 nucleotides. RefSeq lists it as uncharacterized. The record is from RefSeq and is a predicted model, not a curated record. The transcript is spliced from 2 exons. NCBI's taxonomy places the organism in Eukaryota, Metazoa, Chordata, Actinopteri, Esociformes, Esocidae.
UGUUGGAUCUAGUCUGAUCCGUCUUCUCAGUGACACAGAUGAUGAUGAAGAUGAUGAUGAAGAUUUCACUGAUCCCACUGCUGAUCAUGAUGGUUUUCCUGAUUAGGGGGGCAUCUGCACAACGUGUCCUGAAUCAAGCAGAUAAAUUAAAGUCUGUUCGUCUCUGAGA